GAUGAAGAACGCAGCGAAAUGCGAUAAGUAAUGUGAAUUGCAGAAUUCAGUGAAUCAUCGAAUCUUUGAACGCACAUUGCGCCCCCUGGUAUUCCGGGGGGCAUGCCUGUUCGAGCGUCAUUUCACCACUCAAGCCUCGCUUGGUAUUGGGCAACGCGGUCCGCCGCGUGCCUCAAAUCGACCGGCUGGGUCUUCUGUCCCCUAAGCGUUGUGGAAACUAUUCGCUAAAGGGUGUUCGGGAGGCUACGCCGUAAAACAACCCCAUUUCUAAGGUUGACCUCGGAUCAGGUAAGGAUACCCGCUGAACUUAAGCAUAUCAAUAAGCGGAGGA
This 331-nucleotide unclassified non-coding RNA is filed under the name soil metagenome. RNAcentral describes it as "partial contains 5.8S ribosomal RNA, internal transcribed spacer 2, and large subunit ribosomal RNA". The stretch from base 1 to 120 matches the Rfam family "5.8S ribosomal RNA", at positions 35 to 154 of the family's 154-position model. The record is from RNAcentral.